RNAcentral lists this ribosomal RNA (759 nucleotides) under uncultured fungus. Its description in RNAcentral is "eukaryotic LSU rRNA". The stretch from base 279 to 433 matches the Rfam family "5.8S ribosomal RNA". The record is from RNAcentral. Lineage: Eukaryota; Fungi.
GGAAGGAUCAUUAUCGAAUUUGGAUCCGAAGGGGAAGGACGAGCGAGCGAAGUUUGCAGAAGCAUUAGAGAUGGUCGCUGGCCUUUGGAAACGAAGGCAUGUGCACGUCUCGGUCCUCGUUCUCUUUCCUUUCGUAAAUCUUUGACACCCGUGCACCUCUUGUAGGUCCCUGCGAGGGGACCUAUGUCUUCACAAACUCUUUGUAUGUCCAGGAAUGUAUCUAAAGCGUCGACCGGCUUGGCUGAACGUCCAGUCGGCGACGGUAAAGAAUGUAAUACAACUUUCAGCAACGGAUCUCUUGGCUCUCGCAUCGAUGAAGAACGCAGCGAAUUGCGAUAAGUAAUGUGAAUUGCAGAUUUUCAGUGAAUCAUCGAAUCUUUGAACGCACCUUGCGCUCCUUGGUAUUCCGAGGAGCAUGCCUGUUUGAGUGUCAUUUAAUUCUCAACCAUCCCUCGAUUGAUUUUUCGAGGUUUGGCUUGGAUUUUGGGAGCUGCCGGCGACCGAUCGGGUCUUUGGCUCUCCUCAAAAGCAUUAGCGACGGCGGUGUGACCUCCCCCGUGCAUGAACGGCCUUCGACGUGAUAAUGAUCGUCGUGGGCUGGAGUGCUAGCGGGCGUCGCGUCGCGUUCGGCGCUUCUAAUUCUCGUCGAAAGACGAAAUAUAUCGAAACUUGACCUCAAAUCAGGUAGGACUACCCGCUGAACUUAAGCAUAUCAAUAAGCGGAGGAAAAGAAACUAACAAGGAUUCCCCUAGUAACUG